Molecule: non-coding RNA, 441 nt
Organism: Arachis ipaensis
Lineage: Eukaryota; Viridiplantae; Streptophyta; Magnoliopsida; Fabales; Fabaceae
Source: RefSeq, a predicted model, not a curated record
GUUAAACCUUGCUUUGUGACAUGUAGGCUGAUAUGCACCCAAGAGGAGCUUCAAAAAUUGAAGACAGAUAACGCUCAGGUAUGAAUUCCUUCUCGAAAUGCAUACUUGGAUUUGGAAUCCAGUAGUGAUUCCGUUGUUUGAGUGGAUGCUUGGAUUUAUAAGCUAUUCUUGGACACUUAAAACAAAGGUGCCAGAAGGCACUGGAAUUAUGACGAAUACGAACUGUGUAGACGAUAUAUCGACUGAUCUAUUAACUUCUAGGUCUUUUUAAUUAUGUAGGUGAUAUAACCUUUUAUCGUAGUUCUCUUUUUAGUGCAGAUCGUUGUUUAUAAUUGUUUCUGUAAAUGAUUUUAGCGUUAUUUCCUGCUUGUAAAUUAUGAUCCACACGGAAAUGUCGGAACCCCCAACUAAUAUCUCAAAGGAAAACAUAGGUUAAUGCAA